GAUGAACGCUAGCGGCAGGCCUAACACAUGCAAGUCGAGGGGUAGAGUUCUUCGGGACUUGAGACCGGCGCACGGGUGCGUAACGCGUAUGCAAUCUACCUUUUGCAGAGGGAUAGCCCCAGAGAAAUUUUAGGAUUAAUACCCUCAUAGUAUAGUACUUUGGCAUCAAGGAACUAUUAAAGUCACAACGGCAAAGAUGAGCAUGCGUCCCAUUAGCUAGUUGGUAAGGUAACGGCUUACCAAGGCUACGAUGGGUAGGGGUCCUGAGAGGGAGAUCCCCCCACACUGGUACUGAGACACGGACCAGACUCCUACGGGAGGCAGCAGUGAGGAAU
RNAcentral lists this ribosomal RNA (335 nucleotides) under uncultured bacterium. RNAcentral describes it as "bacterial SSU rRNA". It matches the Rfam family "Bacterial small subunit ribosomal RNA", at positions 28 to 362 of the family's 1533-position model. The record is from RNAcentral.